UCUCCGUAGGUGAACCUGCGGAGGGAUCAUUACAGAGUUCAUGCCCUACCGGGUAGAUCUCCCACCCUAUGUUAUUAUUACUUUGUUGCUUUGGCGGGCCCGCCUCGAUGAGAGGCCGCCGGAAGCUCACCGCUUUGGGCCCGUGCCCGUCAGUAGCCCCCUUAAAUUCUUAAUAAACCUGUCGUCUGAGUUAAUGGAUAUAAUGAAAAAAAACUUUCAACAACGGAUCUCUUGGUUCUG
This 240-nucleotide unclassified non-coding RNA is filed under the name plant metagenome. Its description in RNAcentral is "partial contains small subunit ribosomal RNA, internal transcribed spacer 1, and 5.8S ribosomal RNA". The record is from RNAcentral.